RNAcentral lists this long non-coding RNA (224 nucleotides) under Solanum tuberosum (potato). RNAcentral's name for it is "long non-coding RNA (STUB_LNC006671)". Lineage: Eukaryota; Viridiplantae; Streptophyta; Magnoliopsida; Solanales; Solanaceae. The record is from RNAcentral.
UGAACACUUAUGCCUCUAUUUAUAGUGUAACAUAGAGGCAUACAAAAGGUUAGUCAUAAACAUGACAUUAACAUGAAUAUAAUGGGAAGGUUAUGGAAGUGAAAGGUUACAAGAAUAAUGGUUAUAAAGGUGGAGGUUAUGGUUAUCUUCAUAAUGGAGGAAAGUAAUGGAGUAACUUCUUGAUGUAGUGGACAUCUACAAUAUAUUAUUUUAUAACACUCCCC